RNAcentral lists this non-coding RNA (2702 nucleotides) under Pan troglodytes (chimpanzee). Lineage: Eukaryota; Metazoa; Chordata; Mammalia; Primates; Hominidae. The record is from RNAcentral.
GCAGGUUCCAGCCCCGACCCGGGCGCGCGGGGCCGACUAGGGUCGGGUCCGGUGUGCGGUGGUCGCUCCGCUCCGGGCCGCUCCGCUCUGGGCGUCAGGGCGCGGGGAGCUGCCCCGGGGUUCUGUCCACCGGGGAGGAAAGCCACGAGCACUGAGCGCCUCCUGAGAGCCAGCCCUGACGUGAACUCAUUUUAUCUGCCACGACCCAGAAGGAGUCUACUGCUAAGAUUUCAGCAUGUCCUGUGGCUGAGUUAAUCAGAGUUAUGACAGGAAGGUACCGGGCACACCAUCGCAGUGCUCCAUCAAUGCUAGUAUGUUGUGUUCUUUCCUUCAUAUCAAGUCAACUCAAGCUUGCUCUACUUACCUGGUGUACACAGUCUAAGAACUGUAAGAAGACUGGAGCAAAACCACUCCCCUGACAGUUGAGGGUCAAGCUGCUCCUCUGACUGAAUUUGUGACCAAAAGAGAGCCACUCUUUUUCAACCAACAUCCGGAAGCCUUCAAGUGUCCUAUAAAAGGGAUCACUGAGUAACUGAACCAGGGAUGUCACCUAGGGCAUAAGCAGGAUGGAUUGUCAUUAAUUUUAGUUCUGAAAAAGUCCUAUUACUAAGAUAAAAACACUUCCUUCUGAUGAUAGCUAAUUCACAAAUUUACCUGGACAGCAAAUUUGUUCACUAACCAUUCCAGGAUGGCCAAUAAAAUUAAUUUUGUAAACUUGCCAGUAAAAACUAAAGCUCAAAUUCAUUUUGGCUACAGGUUUACUUUCAGGGAAUUAAGACUUUAAUCCUUAACUGGCCAGUUUGCUGACAGCAACCUUUUCCUAAGUUAAUCAGAGGCCAGAGGAUCAGUUAAAAUCAUUUCUACUUUUUGGCAGAUGCAGAUUAAUGUCUUAAUGUAGUCUGAACUCACACUUUUCACUCUGGAGUGAGUUAAGGCGGGGCUUAUAGAGAGCCAGGGGAUGGACUGACAAAACCCAGGAAGGAUGGUCCGCGCCUCACACUGCUGGUCAAGGGCUCCAUCCGCAAGCCUGCAUGGUACAUCUGUGGAUGGGAGAGCCUGAUGCCCGGAGCCAGAGCUCCAGGCUGCGUAGGGGCUAAGAGCUCAUGGUACGGAGUUUUCUGAUGGCUACCAGGUGCUGUUUAACACAGGACUUUCUCUGUCCAUAAACACAUUAGUCAUUAUACAAAAGAGUCAUCUGAAGAAUUUAAAAACGACCAAAUGGAAAUAUAAAAUAUCAAAAAAUAUGUCUAAUAGUUUACUUGUGCAGUGAUGUCCCAGCCUUCCUCCAAACAGACCAAAACUGAGGAACCAUUCUCAAGUACUUCUGAUACAACCACAGCCAGCUGCAUUAUCCUGUGAAGCUAAGAGACAGGAAGGAGAACACAAUUAGACCAAGAGCUUUCUGAGUGCAGAAGUCAGAGAGAGUUGCUUUCAACCCUGGAUAAUCAAACGACUUAGGGAUAAAGCGCUUGCACAAAAGGACCACAUAAUGUUUUAAAUACCUAAAGUUCUUUCAAAUCAAGAUUAAGCAAUGACACUUUUGUCUGGAUGCAGUGACUCAUGCCCAUAAUCCCAGCACUUUGGGAGGCCGAGCCGGGCAGGUCAUUUGAGGUUCGGAGUUCGAGACCAGCCUGGGCAACACAAGCAAGACCCUGUCUCGAAAAAUAAAAAUAAAAAAGAUACUCCUAUUUGUCUGUACUGUGUACUAAAUGAGAAAAAAACUUUCAAUAUAUUUGUGCUAAGUUUUUAAAGCCACAUCAAUUGGCUCAAAGUCCUUAAUAAACAAUUAAGGUAUGAGAAUAGUACAUAGAUUUUAAAACCAAACGUAUAACAUUCUAAUUUUAAAAAAUAUUUUAAUGAUCAUCAGACAUAAUUUGCAAUUUGAAUCCAACUCUGAACAAGAACAAAAAUGAAAAAACCCAUCUCUUAAACAGAGCUAGGCUACUUUAAACACAGGAAUAAGGCAAAUGCCCUACUCAGUAAUGAGAAGCUCCUCAUGUAACUGUUUCUACAACAUAGCUAUCACCAGGCCUGAAUUCUUUUGGGCUCACAAUUUGUUCUAAGAAAUGGCUAUUAUUAAAAAGUCAGAAAAUAACAGAUGCUGGCGAGCCUGUGGAGAAAAGAGAAUGUAUAUACAUUUCUGAUGGGAAUGUAAAUUAGUUCAGCCAUUUAGAAAGUAGUUUGGUGAUUUCUCAAAUAACUUAAAACAGAAUUACCAUUUGACCUAGCAAUCCCAUUACUGAGUAUAUACCCAAAGGAAUAUAAAUUGUUCUACCAUAAAGUCACAUGCACACACAUGUUCAGUGCUGUACUAUUCACAAUAGCAAAGACAUGGAGUCAACCUAUAUGCCCAUCAACGGUAGACUGGAUAAAGAAAAUAUGGUACAUAUACACCAUGGAAUACUACACAGCCGUAAAAAGAAUGAGCUUAUGUCCUUUGCAGUAACACAGCUGAAGCAAACUAACACAGGAAUGGAAAACCAAAUACUGCAUAUUCUCACUUAUAAGUGGGAGCUAAACAUUGAGUACACAUGGACACAAAGAAAGGAAUAGACGCCUGGGACGUACUUGAGGUUGGAGGUGAGAGGAGGGUGAGGAUAGAAAAACUACCUAUCAGGUACUAUGCUUAUUACCUGGGUGAUGAAAUAAUCUGUACACCAAACUCCCAAGAUAUGCAAUGUACCUAUACAAUAAACCUAUAU